UUGGCAUACUUCAAGCAGAUCCUGGCUCCUGGGUCUCUGACCCCCCCCUCCUCCCUUGCACAGGGAGAUGUUCAGAUCAAGGAAUGCAAGUUUUUCUCUAACAAAUCAAUGUCCUUGAAACAUCUAACGUCUUUUGGGCACAGUCAGGGGACCUUUUCCUGUGAGAGGCAAAAAAAGAUCACAAAAUUGUGAUUAAACUCGAUUUCUUUUUUGGCUUUAAAUUAACCUGACAGCCGGAGGAUUUUGAUAUUACCCAAGGAAAACUAUAUGGUAAUAUUGACAUUUCUCAUUCCCUAGGUACUAAACCUUCAAAAAUGCAGAGCCACAGCUGUGCAAUUCAAGAUGAGCUGCAGCGUCUUUUCCUGCCACUGUUAACUCAGAUCAUGGCUGUUGGGAGUGGAGAUCGUCGUUAAGAGAAAAGAAAGGGGCAACACAAAAGCGGUGGGAGAACAGGGUCCCCAUGAUCUUCUGCACCAGAGAGGGGAGGCCAGCUUGCUUCCAGAGAUGGGCCAUCAACCGGUUUUCCCAGGUUCACCGAGGGGAGUCAGUGAAGUGCAUCGCUCCAUCCGUGACACCGCUCUGCCUUGACAAAGGACCAACAUUCCUGAGAGCUUCCCAGAGCUGA
RNAcentral lists this long non-coding RNA (625 nucleotides) under Calidris pugnax (ruff). RNAcentral describes it as "lncRNA (ENSCPUG00000015692.1)". The record is from RNAcentral. Lineage: Eukaryota; Metazoa; Chordata; Aves; Charadriiformes; Scolopacidae.